GCGCCCAUUGCCGCUCCAGUUCAGGCUAGAGGCUCGCCAUUGUUCCUGCAUGGCUAAGUGCCCGGGUUUGUCCUAAUCUAACUGAACACUAGUCGCUGGGUUCCGUGGUUCUCUUCCUUGACCCACGUUUUCUAAUAGAACAAUAACACUCACUGCAUGACCCAAGGUUCCAUUCCAUGGAAUCCAUGAGGCCAAGAACCCCAGGUCAGAGAACAAAAGGCUUGCCGCCAUCUUGGGAGCGGCUCACCACCAUCUUGAGAGCACUAAGAACAAAGACCUGCCUGUAACAAUGGGACCUCUAGCUCUGCAACUGAGCUCUCACCUAGACUCUUCCAAUCAAGGCAGGGAAUCCUCAAACCACAGUGAUGAUACAGGGAUGGGCACAUGCUCCAAACUUCUCAUGCCCAAGAAGGUCCACUGACAGACACUGGGAAGAUACCUUCUUCAUGUUUCGAGACAAGGUGGCCACAUGUGACCUCAGAGAUGGCAUUUUCAAUAGUGGAAUGUGAGGUACUGUGCUGGGGUAAAGAUGGAAUGACUUACCUGCUAU
RNAcentral lists this long non-coding RNA (550 nucleotides) under Homo sapiens (human). RNAcentral describes it as "HSALNT0348964". Lineage: Eukaryota; Metazoa; Chordata; Mammalia; Primates; Hominidae. The record is from RNAcentral.